UUUCUAUCCUGUUUUUAUUUUUUAUUUUUUAACAGGUUGCUGGGGAUGAAACUCAGGGUCUCACACAUGCUAUCCAAGAGCUCCACCACUGAACUACACUGGGACAGUGUGCGCUGAUGCACACAGUUUUCUGAAAAACAUUGUUCAGAGGAUUAAUUCUGCUUCAAGAUUGUAUCCAAAAGACCUUGAAUGAGUAGAGUUCCCAAAUCAGCCUAGAUUUGGUCAGGGUAAGUGGAAAGUGACUGCAGAAAUCCUGCAGGUCAAAAGGGAAGUGAAGUAAGCAGGAAGUUAACUUCCUAAGUUUGGGAGGGAAGUCAAAUAGCCAUCAAACCCCUUGUGGCUGAGUUGCUGAGAUGACAAUCUGAUCCAGCUGAAUUAAGCAUAAAGAAAAAAAAAAUCUGGACUCUGCAGGCAACUCUUCACCUAGACAAGAUGAUGGGAUUCUCAUGCUGAAUUCCCACUAGUUUCCUCACCAGUAGUGUCGUCUUUCUAUUGAUAUUGGUCUAGUAGAAGAAUGAUUAUCAGUCA
This 528-nucleotide long non-coding RNA is filed under the name Ictidomys tridecemlineatus (thirteen-lined ground squirrel). RNAcentral's name for it is "lncRNA (ENSSTOG00000031544.1)". The record is from RNAcentral. Lineage: Eukaryota; Metazoa; Chordata; Mammalia; Rodentia; Sciuridae.